UGGCCUUGACAUGUCCGGAAUCCAGCAGAGAUGCAGGAGUGCCUUCGGGAAUCGGAACACAGGUGCUGCAUGGCUGUCGUCAGCUCGUGUCGUGAGAUGUUGGGUUAAGUCCCGCAACGAGCGCAACCCUCACCUUCAGUUGCCAUCAUUUAGUUGGGCACUCUGAAGGAACUGCCGGUGACAAGCCGGAGGAAGGUGGGGAUGACGUCAAGUCCUCAUGGCCCUUACGCGCUGGGCUACACACGUGCUACAAUGGUGGUGACAAUGGGUCGCAAGCGUGCGAACGCAAGCUAAUCUCCAAAAGCCAUCUCAGUUCGGAUUGCACUCUGCAACUCGAGUGCAUGAAGUCGGAAUCGCUAGUAAUCGUGGAUCAGCAUGCCACGGUGAAUACGUUCCC
RNAcentral lists this ribosomal RNA (397 nucleotides) under uncultured Alphaproteobacteria bacterium. RNAcentral describes it as "bacterial SSU rRNA". It matches the Rfam family "Bacterial small subunit ribosomal RNA", at positions 976 to 1375 of the family's 1533-position model. The record is from RNAcentral. Lineage: Bacteria; Pseudomonadati; Pseudomonadota; Alphaproteobacteria.